UGGAACUAUUUAUGAUAGUAAUUGCCACACCAGGGUAACAGCCAUCUGCAAAAAAGCCAAGGUCCGAGAGGCUGUUACUGCUCUUGCGCCGUCAACAUUGACGCCAGAUAGGACCAAAAGGUGGGACGGGUGGGUAGACAACCGCUUUGACUUCUCCUACCUGCUCGACCCCAAGUCUCGGAAGACCUGGCAGGAGGCGCGAGACGACUGCGUCAGCCGCGGAGGUGACCUGCUCAGCAUCACCAACUC
Long non-coding RNA from Syngnathus acus (greater pipefish), 249 nucleotides. RefSeq lists it as uncharacterized. The transcript has 3 exons. NCBI's taxonomy places the organism in Eukaryota, Metazoa, Chordata, Actinopteri, Syngnathiformes, Syngnathidae. The record is from RefSeq and is a predicted model, not a curated record.